GCAGAGGUGGUGUAGUUGGUUAUCACGUGGCUUUCACACAGCCAAGGUCGGGGGUUCGAAUCCCCCCUUCUGUA
Cylindrotheca closterium is the source of this 74-nucleotide non-coding RNA. The record is from the annotation of a GenBank genome assembly. NCBI's taxonomy places the organism in Eukaryota, Bacillariophyta, Bacillariophyceae, Bacillariales, Bacillariaceae.